RNAcentral lists this long non-coding RNA (1090 nucleotides) under Pan troglodytes (chimpanzee). RNAcentral describes it as "lincRNA". The record is from RNAcentral. Lineage: Eukaryota; Metazoa; Chordata; Mammalia; Primates; Hominidae.
AUUUUACCAGCUACACCCACACCCUCAAUUCUACUUGAAAUUAAUCUUAAAGAAAUUUUGAAUUUGCUGAUAAUUUGAGAUCAGUAAAGAUUUUCCCUGAAAGUUCUAAGCGUGUGUGCUGAGUUGGAAGGGCUGCAGAAGUGGGUCACGCUCACCCAACUGGAACUCGAAAGACUCAUAGAGAGCAAGCACUGGACAAUGGCCUGGUGUCCAUGAUGUAUCCCUGCCUGUCGUUACUAAUCCUACUCAGGGCCAAGCUGGAGAGAAAUAGUCCUUUCAGCCACAAGUCUUAAUAGUUUGCGUGAGUGUUAAUCUGCUUCUCAUAGAGUCACCAUGAAACACACCUUAGACAGAAUAAUACAAAGCUUUAACAAAGACCCCAUAAGAACUUCAUAUCUGAGUACCAUUUGCAAUCGAUUUACAAAUAAUGCUAGCAUCCUUAGCGACUUCUUCAGGCAAGGUUAUACUGGGGGUUUUUGAGGCUAAGCAGGUGAACUGGGAGUACCGCACACAGCAUGGCUUCCAGCCUGAAGUGACUGUAAAACGCCAGUGAAUAGAGAGGCUCAAGGCUGAGUAAAGGAUCCUGCACACUCAACAAGCUCAUCCUUCUCUGCACCCGAGUUGUUUAUAGAGUCCCAGUUACAGAGCUUUCAGAAGGUGGAAUUCGUCCACAGCACACUAUUGAUGCCUAUCGAAUCUAAGGAAAUUAACUAAGAAGGGAAGAAAUAAUCUUCAUAGAGGGAUUUGAGAACCCAGAAGACGGUAUGGGCCUGGCAGUGUGCAUGCUGCAAACUAUGCACCAUCACUGGCCUAAAACGCACCUCUGUGUGCAUCAUUUACUCACGUUUAAAAAUCACCCUCUACUUGUUCCCCUGUGACCCUCAUUGGACUAUAUCCAGACAGCACUAAAGUGAUAGCCAGAAAAAGUAGAAACAACCCAUGUGUUCAUCCACUGACGAAUGGAUCAAAACAUGUGGCGUGUCCAUCCAUACAAGGGGAUAUUACCCAGCAGUCAAAAGGAGCAAAGAACUGAUGUAUACCACACCAUGGCUGAUUCUCAACAGUAUGUUCAGUGAAAGAAACCAGUCAC